AAGGACUUCGACCGGGAGGUGAGAAGCCGGGUCGAGCACCUGCGGGCGAACGGGGAGCGCCUGGUCAAGGAGAUGGAGAACCUGUACGACGUGGAGCUCCUCCGGCUGCCCCUGGCUCUCCGCGAGAUGAACUGGCUGCAGUUCUUCGCUGAAGGGGGAAGCCGGAAAGUCCUGGAAGAGGCUGUGACGGUAGGUAUCCGGCACGAAUAGGA
This is a non-coding RNA of Phasianus colchicus (ring-necked pheasant), 212 nucleotides long. The record is from RefSeq and is a predicted model, not a curated record. Lineage: Eukaryota; Metazoa; Chordata; Aves; Galliformes; Phasianidae.